ACGCUGGCGGCAGGCCUAACACAUGCAAGUCGAGCGGUAGAGAGGAGCUUGCUUCUCUUGAGAGCGGCGGACGGGUGAGUAAUGCCUAGGAAUCUGCCUGGUAGUGGGGGAUAACGUUCGGAAACGGACGCUAAUACCGCAUACGUCCUACGGGAGAAAGCAGGGGACCUUCGGGCCUUGCGCUAUCAGAUGAGCCUAGGUCGGAUUAGCUAGUUGGUGGGGUAACGGCUCACCAAGGCGACGAUCCGUAACUGGUCUGAGAGGAUGAUCAGUCACACUGGAACUGAGACACGGUCCAGACUCCUACGGGAGGCAGCAGUGGGGAAUAUUGGACAAUGGGCGAAAGCCUGAUCCAGCCAUGCCGCGUGUGUGAAGAAGGUCUUCGGAUUGUAAAGCACUUUAAGUUGGGAGGAAGGGUUGUAGAUUAAUACUCUGCAAUUUUGACGUUACCGACAGAAUAAGCACCGGCUAACUCUGUGCCAGCAGCCGCGGUAAUACAGAGGGUGCAAGCGUUAAUCGGAAUUACUGGGCGUAAAGCGCGCGUAGGUGGUUAGUUAAGUUGGAUGUGAAAUCUCCGGGCUCAACCUGGGAACUGCAUUCAAAACUGACUGACUAGAGUAUGGUAGAGGGUGGUGGAAUUUCCUGUGUAGCGGUGAAAUGCGUAGAUAUAGGAAGGAACACCAGUGGCGAAGGCGACCACCUGGACUGAUACUGACACUGAGGUGCGAAAGCGUGGGGAGCAAAC
This 745-nucleotide ribosomal RNA is filed under the name uncultured bacterium. Its description in RNAcentral is "bacterial SSU rRNA". It matches the Rfam family "Bacterial small subunit ribosomal RNA", at positions 33 to 773 of the family's 1533-position model. The record is from RNAcentral.